RNAcentral lists this ribosomal RNA (295 nucleotides) under uncultured bacterium. Its description in RNAcentral is "partial 16S ribosomal RNA". It matches the Rfam family "Bacterial small subunit ribosomal RNA", at positions 30 to 326 of the family's 1533-position model. The record is from RNAcentral.
AUUGAACGCUGGCGGCAUGCCUUACACAUGCAAGUCGAACGGCAGCACGGGAGCAAUCCUGGUGGCGAGUGGCGAACGGGGUGAGUAAUAUAUCGGAACGUGCCCAGUCUGGGGGAUAACGUAGCGAAAGCUACGCUAAUACCGCAUACGAUCUAUGGAUGAAAGCGGGGGAUCGCAAGACCUCGCGCGAUUGGAGCGGCCGAUAUCAGAUUAGGUAGUUGGUGAGGUAAAGGCUCACCAAGCGACGAUCUGUAGCUGGUCUGAGAGGACGACCAGCCACACUGGGACUGAGACA